CAGCCGCCACGGUAAUACCGAGGGUGCAAGCGUUAAUCGGAAUUACUGGGCGUAAAGCGCGCGUAGGUGGUUUGUUAAGUUGGAUGUGAAAUCCCCGGGCUCAACCUGGGAACUGCAUUCAAAACUGACUGACUAGAGUAUGGUAGAGGGUGGUGGAAUUUCCUGUGUAGCGGUGAAAUGCGUAGAUAUAGGAAGGAGCACCAGUGGCGAAGGCGACCACCUGGACUAAUACUGACACUGAGGUGCGAAAGCGUGGGGAGCAAACAGGAUUAGAUACCCCCGUAGUCCCUGUCUCUUAUAA
Molecule: ribosomal RNA, 301 nt
Filed under: uncultured bacterium
Lineage: Bacteria
Description: partial 16S ribosomal RNA
Rfam family: Bacterial small subunit ribosomal RNA
Source: RNAcentral